CCGAUCAUAGCUCAGUUGGUAGAGCGCCUGACUGUAGAGUUUACGCAGCUAUCAGGCGGUCUCUGGUUCGAAUCCGGAUGAUCGGA
This 86-nucleotide transfer RNA is filed under the name Stylonychia lemnae. It matches the Rfam family "tRNA". Rfam says of the family: Transfer RNA (tRNA) molecules are approximately 80 nucleotides in length. Their secondary structure includes four short double-helical elements and three loops (D, anti-codon, and T loops). The record is from Rfam by way of RNAcentral. Lineage: Eukaryota; Ciliophora; Spirotrichea; Sporadotrichida; Oxytrichidae.